GAAAUGCGAUAAGUAGUGUGAAUUGCAGAAUUCAGUGAAUCAUCGAAUCUUUGAACGCACAUUGCGCCCCUUGGUAUUCCAUGGGGCAUACUUGUUCGAGCGUCAUUUGUACUCUCAAGCUCUGCUUGGUGUUGGGUGUUUGUCCUCUCCCCGUGUUUGGACUCGCCUUAAAGUCAUUGGCAGCCGAUGUAUUGGUUUUGAAGCGCAGCACAAUUUGCGGUUCUGGCCGGUUAUCAUCAGCGUCCAUUAAGCAUCAUUAACACUUUUGACCUCGGAUCAAGUAGGGAUACCCGCUGAACUUAA
This 303-nucleotide unclassified non-coding RNA is filed under the name uncultured Phoma. Its description in RNAcentral is "sequence contains ITS1". The stretch from base 1 to 105 matches the Rfam family "5.8S ribosomal RNA", at positions 50 to 154 of the family's 154-position model. Lineage: Eukaryota; Fungi; Ascomycota. The record is from RNAcentral.